RNAcentral lists this ribosomal RNA (697 nucleotides) under uncultured bacterium. Its description in RNAcentral is "bacterial SSU rRNA". It matches the Rfam family "Bacterial small subunit ribosomal RNA", at positions 143 to 845 of the family's 1533-position model. The record is from RNAcentral.
AUAACAGCCGGAAACGGCUGCUAAUACCGCAUAUGCGCACAGUGCCGCAUGGCACAGUGCGGAAAGCCUAGAUCUUAUCUAGUACGGUACACGAUGGGUCCGCGUCUGAUUAGGUAGUUGGCGGGGUAACGGCCCACCAAGCCCACGAUCAGUAGCCGGCCUGAGAGGGCGGACGGCCACACUGGGACUGAGACACGGCCCAGACUCCUGCGGGAGGCAGCAGUGGGGAAUAUUGCACAAUGGGGGGAACCCUGAUGCAGCGACGCCGCGUGAAGGAAGAAGUAUCUCGGUAUGUAAACUUCUAUCAGCAGGGAAGAAAGAGGACGGUACCUGACUAAGAAGCCCCGGCUAACUACGUGCCAGCAGCCGCGGUAAUACGUAGGGGGCGAGCGUUAUCCGGAUUUACUGGGUGUAAAGGGAGCGUAGACGGCCAUGCAAGCUCGGUGUGAAAGGUGCGGGCACAACCCGCAGACUGCACUGAGAACUGUAUGGCUGGAGUGCCGGAGGGGCAGGCGGAAUUCCUGGUGUAGCGGUGAAAUGCGUAGAUAUCAGGAGGAACACCGGUGGCGAAGGCGGCCUGCUGGACGGCGACUGACGUUGAGGCUCGAAAGCGUGGGGAGCGAACAGGAUUAGAUACCCUGGUAGUCCACGCCGUAAACGAUGUAUACGAGGUGUCGGGCAUCAAGGAUGGCCGGUG